GAUGAAGAACGCAGCGAAAUGCGAUAAGUAAUGUGAAUUGCAGAAUUCAGUGAAUCAUCGAAUCUUUGAACGCACAUUGCGCCCGCCAGUAUUCUGGCGGGCAUGCCUGUUCGAGCGUCAUUUCAACCAUCAAGCCCCAGGCUUGUGUUGGAGCCCUGCGGCUGCCGCAGCCUCCCAAAACCAGUGGCGGGCUCGCUAUCACACCGAGUGCUGUAGUUUACUCUUCGCUCAGGGCGUGUGGCGGGUGCUAGCCGUAAAACCCCCAACUUCUCAAGGUUGACCUCGGAUCAGGUAGGAAUACCCGCUGAACUUAAGCAUAUCAAUAAGCGGAGGA
Molecule: unclassified non-coding RNA, 334 nt
Filed under: soil metagenome
Description: partial contains 5.8S ribosomal RNA, internal transcribed spacer 2, and large subunit ribosomal RNA
Rfam family: 5.8S ribosomal RNA (bases 1-120)
Source: RNAcentral